GACGAACGCUGGCGGCGUGCCUAAUACAUGCAAGUCGAGCGAACCUUUAGAUUAGCUUGCUAUUCUCAAGGUUAGCGGCGGACGGGUGAGUAACACGUGGGCAACCUGCCCUAUAGACCGGGAUAACCCGCGGAAACGCGUGCUAAUACCGGAUAAUACAUUGAAACUCCUGUUUCGAUGUUGAAAGAUGGUUCUGCUAUCACUAUAGGAUGGGCCCGCGGCGCAUUAGCUAGUUGGUAGGGUAACGGCCUACCAAGGCGACGAUGCGUAGCCGACCUGAGAGGGUGAUCGGCCACACUGGGACUGAGACACGGCCCAGACUCCUACGGGAGGCAG
This 336-nucleotide ribosomal RNA is filed under the name uncultured Bacillota bacterium. RNAcentral describes it as "bacterial SSU rRNA". It matches the Rfam family "Bacterial small subunit ribosomal RNA", at positions 28 to 351 of the family's 1533-position model. The record is from RNAcentral. Lineage: Bacteria; Bacillati; Bacillota.